ACAAUGCGCAGAGGAGGUAUCCCUCACUCCCUGACACUCAUACGCGCUCCCCCCCACCCAAUCUUUCGGGUGGGCUCGGCAGGCGGGGCGCGAGCCCGCGUGGGAGGGUGAGGGGAAAUCUUUCUAUCGCUUCCCCUGGUGGCGAGGGAGGAGGUAGGGAAGGAGAGAAGGACGGCCUCGGUGAUUCGGCGAUCGGCCGCGCGGGCUGAGGGUGAGGCUGCGGAAUCCCGAGCCGCGGAUGAGGCGGGAGAAGCAGCGCUGCCGGGACACGACGGGGUUAAGCUGGGUCGACCGCCAUUUUGGAUGGCGGGGAGGUAAGCGGCAGAACUGGCUCAGCAGCAGGAAGUGGAAGAGCAUGCACGGCACAGCGCGGCGGCGGGAGAGCCUCUGUGGGGGAGUGACACUUCGAAGCUCCCAGCUCCCUGGCAGUGCCUGCGUGCAGCUCGCUGCCUCUCCCGUGGGAAGCCGGGCUGCCUGUGCGUGAGCGCCGCGGAUAAAUACCUGUAGGGGAACCCCGGUGUGAUUCCUAAACGGUGUGCCUCGUCGGGAAAGUCAUCCCUUCCUUUCAGCCCUCGGUCGCGUACUGUCAAUGCCAAAUGUUAAAUCAGCUGUGAUUCAGACUACUGAAGACAAUCACAUGAUGCGUGUAAGAACUAUAUAAAGAAUAAUAAAAAGGA
Corvus hawaiiensis (hawaiian crow) is the source of this 677-nucleotide long non-coding RNA. RefSeq lists it as uncharacterized. The record is from RefSeq and is a predicted model, not a curated record. The transcript has 2 exons. Lineage: Eukaryota; Metazoa; Chordata; Aves; Passeriformes; Corvidae.